AUGGAUGGUGGCUUGCUGAGACCUCUGAGCGGGGACCAGAUGUCACCAGCGGGACCUCUCCCCGCACCUGGCACUUUGGCUGGGGACUGGGAGCUGCUUCGCUGCCGGCGGAGCGGCCACGGGUUGCGCCGGUCGUCUGCCCACCCACCACUCUUGCUCAAGGAUUUUGGUCGUGGGUGGGAAAAAUCGCCGCCAUCUUUCCCUGCGGAUGAGGCAGGGGACAGGGACGGGGACAGAGCUGAGCCGGUGGUGGGGAGGCAUCACUUGGGACCUGCUCGCUGGGAUCCCAGCAUCGCUUACUGCCACCUCGAGCCUCUUCCGUGUGCUUCCAGGCCUCCCAAAGGCUUUCCUCCAUCCAAUGAAAAUAAUCAGUCCAAUAAACACGAGACAUGGGAACGGCCUGAUUGCUUCCUUUUCAUGCUCAAAAGCUUGGUGCAGCAGGACUUUGCAGGGGCCAAGGGUUCCCAACACCACCUCCAGCUGGGGGGUGAUGCUGCCUGUGCUGUGAGGGGCCGGGGGUCUGGCAGGGGGCUGCGAGGGGAUUGUAUGGGAGGGGUGCGUAGCUGGAGAGCAGUUGGUGACCAGUUUUGUGCUGGCAGUGAGCCGUGUCCGGGGUGCUCACACAGACCUGUUUGCGUCUACGGACUUGUGGAUGGGGAGUUUAAGGGGAGACAGGGCCUUCCACUGGCUUUGCGCCUGCUUGGCCCAGCUGUGCGAGCUAAGGCCACUCGCCCAUCCGUGCCCUCCGCUGCGGGCAGAGUCGGUGCCGUGCCAACCCGCCGCCAGCCCAGGAUGUGCGCGGCUGCAGGAGGCUGCCAGCAGGGUCCUGAGGAUGGGGGGCUGUCAGUGGCGACUCUGACGUUCGUUGGGGUGUUGGCUGGGAGAACCGGUGAGGUCUGUAUGUUCUUUCUCCUCCUUCCACCCAACCCACCUCAGCCCCUACCUGAAACAGACCUCCACCAUCCCCCCCUGCCCCGCUGUCCCGCUGCCCACACCCAUGGCGCCUCUCCAGCCACUCAGGAGAGGGAUGGGGCCGGCCCCACGCCCACAGGCACGGCCGAGUGGCUUUCCCUGCAGCUCCUUGCCAAUCCCCCCCACCUCCUGAGACAAGAGAGAGAAAGAAAAGAAAAACAAGCGGCUCUGUUACGGAAAGGGCUGGCUGAGCUGCCGCCUGUGCUGUGGCAGAGAUCACCUGGCAGGGGCAGGAUGGAGCAUAGCUCAGCCUCUCCCAUAGUUUGA
Molecule: long non-coding RNA, 1239 nt
Filed under: Falco tinnunculus (common kestrel)
Lineage: Eukaryota; Metazoa; Chordata; Aves; Falconiformes; Falconidae
Description: lncRNA (ENSFTIG00000004524.1)
Source: RNAcentral